AAACCAUUGCUUUUGGCUGAGAUCAAGCGUAGCGUCUGUUCUUAGCAGUUUAAAAUCUGAUACGUUCUCUAUUCGAGGACGUUUUGUUUGUUUCUUUUUUUGUUUUCUUCCCCCUUUUAUUUUUUGCUGGCAACUGUGAUGGGUACAACAAUUUGUCUCUUUGAAGUUGACCAAGA
RNAcentral lists this small nuclear RNA (176 nucleotides) under Dasypus novemcinctus (nine-banded armadillo). RNAcentral's name for it is "U2 spliceosomal RNA (ENSDNOG00000027844.1)". It matches the Rfam family "U2 spliceosomal RNA". Rfam says of the family: U2 is a small nuclear RNA (snRNA) component of the spliceosome (involved in pre-mRNA splicing). Complementary binding between U2 snRNA (in an area lying towards the 5' end but 3' to hairpin I) and the branchpoint sequence (BPS) of the intron results the bulging out of an unpaired adenosine, on the BPS, which initiates a nucleophilic attack at the intronic 5' splice site, thus starting the first of two transesterification reactions that mediate splicing. The record is from RNAcentral. Lineage: Eukaryota; Metazoa; Chordata; Mammalia; Cingulata; Dasypodidae.